Molecule: ribosomal RNA, 738 nt
Filed under: Triticum aestivum (bread wheat)
Lineage: Eukaryota; Viridiplantae; Streptophyta; Magnoliopsida; Poales; Poaceae
Description: partial small subunit ribosomal RNA
Source: RNAcentral
AUGCGGUGGCGGAGGGAGUGGAGGUUGCCGCCGGGGCAGAACUCCACGACAACGCAGGAGAAGCGCGGGGCGGCGUCGAAGUCGGCGAAGAGCGUGGGGAGGAACGGGUGGUCGAGCAGCCGCAGGAUGCGCUUCUCGGCGGCCGCCCGCUCCAGCUUGUGCUUCUUGGCCACGGCGCGCCGGUCCACCACCUUCAAGCAGGGGAUGCAGUGGCCCGCCCUUCUCCAGGCCCUAGCCCUCCGUCCCGGCGGCACCCCCUCGUUCCGCCUCACCGGCGUCGGCCCCCCGCAGCCGGACGAGACCGACGCCUUGCAGCAGAUGGGCUGGAAGCUCGCCCAGUUCGCGUACACCAUCCGCGUCGACUUCCAGUACCGCGGCCUCGGCGCCGCCACGCUGGCGGACCUGGAGCCGUUCAUGCUGCAGCCGGAGGACUCGAACGAGGAGCCCGAGGUAAUCUCCGUCAACUCAGUCUUCGAGAUGCACCGGCUGCUCGCCCAGCCCGGCGCCAUGGAGAAGGUCCUGGGCACCGUGCGCGCCGUGCGGCCGAGGAUCGUCACCGUGGUGGAGCAGGAGGGGAACCACAACUCCGGCACAUUCCUGGACCGCUUCACCGAGCACUACUACUACUCCACCAUGUUCGAUUCCCUCGAGGGCGGCAGCUCCGGCGGCCCAUCCGAAGUCUCAUCGGGGGGCAGCUGUUGCUCCUGCCGCCGCCGGCACGGACCAGGUCAUGUCUGA